Molecule: transfer RNA, 66 nt
Filed under: Pselaphinae sp. 9 EF-2015
Lineage: Eukaryota; Metazoa; Arthropoda; Insecta; Coleoptera; Staphylinidae
Description: tRNA-Ser
Source: RNAcentral
GAAAUAAGUAAUUCAAGGGAGAAUUUCUAAUUCAACUCUUUAGCGAUGAAAUUCGUUAUUAUUUCU